This is a long non-coding RNA of Xiphophorus couchianus (Monterrey platyfish), 404 nucleotides long. RefSeq lists it as uncharacterized. The record is from RefSeq and is a predicted model, not a curated record. Lineage: Eukaryota; Metazoa; Chordata; Actinopteri; Cyprinodontiformes; Poeciliidae. The transcript has 2 exons.
CGUAUGCUGCCCCAUGAUUUGAUGCCACAGCUUCGACUCCAUGCAGCUCCUGUGUUUUGUCCACGUUUAGAAGCACCUAUCUGUGCGAACAGAUGUUUUCAAUAAUGAAUUUAAACAAGACCAAGACCAGAUCGCGCAUUACUGACGAAAACCUACACGCCGUUUUGCGGAUUGCAACAGCACAAGAACUAAAACCGGACAUCGACGAACUGACCAGGGGAAAACGGUGCCAGACAUCCGGCCAGAAAACAUUGAACACAACACAAUGAGGAUGUGUGAGUUGGUGACAGGCUGAAGAGGAUCAGCGUUGUGUUCAAGGACAGGCAGCAUCACCUCAUUGUUUGGUUCUUAUGUGAAAUACAUGUUCGUUGUGUAAUAAAUAACGAAAAAGUUUUGUGAAUGAA